UUAACUAUUAUAUAGUACUCAGACGACACUAACAUUCAGAGUUUGAGGUCCUCUGGCGGGCACGCCCCAGCCGGAGCCGAGGGCCUUGCGGCGGCCCGCCAAAGCAACAUGAGUAGUAAGACAUAGGGUGGGAGAUCUACCCCGAAGGGCAUGAACUCUGUAAUGAUCCCUCCGCAGGUUCACCUACGGAGA
RNAcentral lists this unclassified non-coding RNA (192 nucleotides) under uncultured fungus. RNAcentral's name for it is "sequence contains ITS1". Lineage: Eukaryota; Fungi. The record is from RNAcentral.